GACGAACGCUGGCGGCGUGCUUAAUACAUGCAAGUCGACUGAACUUAAGGUAGCAAUAUUUUAAGGGAGGUGGCGCACGGGUGAGUAACACGUAGGUAAUCUGCCUUUAGGACUGACAUAACCCAGAGAAAUCUGGGCUAAUAUCAGAUGAUGCAGCGGCUCGACAUCGAGACAGUUGUUAAACCUUCGGGGCCUAGAGAUGAGCCUGCGUCUGAUUAGGUAGUUGGCGGGGUAAUGGCCCACCAAGCCAUCGAUCAGUAGCUGGUCUGAGAGGAUGAUCAGCCACACUGGAACUGAGACACGGUCCAGACUCCUACGGGAGGCAGCAGUAAGGAAUAUUGCUCAAUGGCCGAAAGGCUGAAGCAGCAACGCCGCGUGGAGGAUGAAAUACUUUUGUAUGUAAACUCCUGUGAGAAGGGAAAAUAUGCAGAUUUUCUGCGUUGAUUGUACCUUCAGAGGA
Molecule: ribosomal RNA, 460 nt
Filed under: uncultured bacterium
Lineage: Bacteria
Description: bacterial SSU rRNA
Rfam family: Bacterial small subunit ribosomal RNA
Source: RNAcentral